AGUCGUUGUCACUAUCAAGAUGGAUAUUUCGAGAGGGAUAUUUUACAUUUGUAUCUGACAAUCACUGUGCAGGGAGGCUUAAAUUCUCAUGAUGGGACUUUCUAAACCAAGGGUAACGCUGUGUAGCAUAAAGUGGCCCUGCCUUCUGUGUGUCAAGAGCUUGCCACUUUGUGUUGAAGCACUUCGUCAUCAUCACAUUCAUUGCAUGUUACCUGUAGAGGACCAUAUACAUACUAAUGACUCAGCAAUUCCACAUUGUAUAAGUGGGUGCAAAGAGGGGUACAGCGGAUCAUACUGCAGCGUGACAUGUCCUAAGAACUGCAUAAGGUGUGAUCGAAAGAAGCGGUAUUGCGACGUCUGCCGCGAUGGAUAUUUCGAUGGCAACUGUACGUCGAUGUGUCUUCACUGUGAAAAGUGUAAUUCUACAGGUGAUUGUAUAAAUCGAACUGAGCAGUCAACGACACCACCCACUGAUUUCAAUGGUACAAACAAGUCAUCGAUGCCUCCGUACAUCAUUGGCCUCAUUGUAAUCUUUCCCCUUUUAACGGGACCACCACUAGCAUACUUCGCAUACAGAUAUGUACAAGCG
Molecule: long non-coding RNA, 589 nt
Organism: Gigantopelta aegis
Lineage: Eukaryota; Metazoa; Mollusca; Gastropoda; Neomphalida; Peltospiridae
Exons: 3
Source: RefSeq, a predicted model, not a curated record